This 180-nucleotide non-coding RNA is filed under the name Bifidobacterium actinocoloniiforme. Its description in RNAcentral is "Lysine sequence". It matches the Rfam family "Lysine riboswitch aptamer". From Rfam's summary of the family: Riboswitches are metabolite binding domains within certain messenger RNAs that serve as precision sensors for their corresponding targets. Allosteric rearrangement of mRNA structure is mediated by ligand binding, and this results in modulation of gene expression. This family includes riboswitches that sense lysine in a number of genes involved in lysine metabolism, including lysC. RNAcentral also lists the same sequence under 1 other name. Lineage: Bacteria; Bacillati; Actinomycetota; Actinomycetes; Bifidobacteriales; Bifidobacteriaceae. The record is from RNAcentral.
AGUCACAGAAGAGGUCGCUGAGCUCAUCAGUAGCCAGGUGGAGGCGUUGCGGCGCCGGUGAAACCUGGCGAAAGGGUGGUCAGCCGAAACGUCCAGGAGCCGCUGAGCCUGGGGGUUGGGACUGGGUUCAACAAAUCCAGGACUGUCGCAGCGGAUGCGCUGCGGAGCGCUAUGGACGGU